AUUGAACGCUUGCGGCAGGCUUAACACAUGCAAGUCGAGCGGGGGAAGGUAGCUUGCUACUGGACCUAGCGGCGGACGGGUGAGUAAUGCUUAGGAAUCUGCCUAUUAGUGGGGGACAACAUCUCGAAAGGGAUGCUAAUACCGCAUACGUCCUACGGGAGAAAGCAGGGGAUCUUCGGACCUUGCGCUAAUAGAUGAGCCUAAGUCGGAUUAGCUAGUUGGUGGGGUAAAGGCCUACCAAGGCGACGAUCUGUAGCGGGUCUGAGAGGAUGGUCCGCCACACUGGGACUGAGGCACGGCCCAGACUCCUACGGGAGGCAGCAGUGGGGAAUAUUGGACAAUGGGGGGAACCCUGAUCCAGCCAUGCCGCGUGUGUGAAGAAGGCCUUAUGGUUGUAAAGCACUUUAAGCGAGGAGGGGGCUACUUUAGUUAAUACCUAGAGAUAGUGGACGUUACUCGCAGAAUAAGCACCGGCUAACUCUGUGCCAGCCGCCGCGGUAA
RNAcentral lists this ribosomal RNA (501 nucleotides) under uncultured bacterium. RNAcentral's name for it is "partial 16S ribosomal RNA". It matches the Rfam family "Bacterial small subunit ribosomal RNA", at positions 30 to 523 of the family's 1533-position model. The record is from RNAcentral.